GGAAUUUUGCGCAAUGGGGGAAACCCUGACGCAGCCAUGCCGCGUGGAUGAUGAAGGUCUUAGGAUUGUAAAAUCCUUUCACCGGUGAAGAUAAUGACUGUAGCCGGAGGAGAAGCCCCGGCUAACUUCGUGCCAGCAGCCGCGGUAAUACGAAGGGGGCUAGCGUUGCUCGGAAUUACUGGGCGUAAAGGGAGCGUAGGCGGACAUUUAAGUCAGGGGUGAAAUCCCAGAGCUCAACUCUGGAACUGCCUUUGAUACUGGGUGUCUUGAGUGUGAUAGAGGUAUGUGGAACUCCGAGUGUAGAGGUGAAAUUCGUAGAUAUUCGGAAGAACACCAGUGGCGAGGGCGACAUACUGGAUCAUUACUGGCGCUGAGGCUCGAAAGCGUGGGGAGCAAAC
RNAcentral lists this ribosomal RNA (398 nucleotides) under uncultured bacterium. RNAcentral's name for it is "bacterial SSU rRNA". It matches the Rfam family "Bacterial small subunit ribosomal RNA", at positions 358 to 773 of the family's 1533-position model. The record is from RNAcentral.